Molecule: ribosomal RNA, 165 nt
Filed under: uncultured bacterium
Lineage: Bacteria
Description: partial 16S rRNA
Rfam family: Bacterial small subunit ribosomal RNA
Source: RNAcentral
UAGGGAAUCUUCGGCAAUGGACGAAAGUCUGACCGAGCAACGCCGCGUGAGUGAAGAAGGUUUUCGGAUCGUAAAACUCUGUUGUUAGAGAAGAACGACGAGGAGAGUGGAAAGCUCCUUGCGUGACGGUAUCUAACCAGAAAGGGACGGCUAACUACGUGCCCG